CCGGUGCCUAACCUUACGGGAGGGAGCCGUCGAAGGUGGGCUUGUGAUUGGGGUGAAGUCGUAACAAGGUACCC
RNAcentral lists this ribosomal RNA (74 nucleotides) under uncultured bacterium. RNAcentral's name for it is "partial 16S ribosomal RNA". The record is from RNAcentral.